This 448-nucleotide ribosomal RNA is filed under the name uncultured bacterium. RNAcentral describes it as "bacterial SSU rRNA". It matches the Rfam family "Bacterial small subunit ribosomal RNA", at positions 330 to 794 of the family's 1533-position model. The record is from RNAcentral.
CCCGGACUCCUACGGGAGGCAGCAGUGGGGGAUAUUGCACAAUGGGGGGAACCCUGAUGCAGCGACGCCGCGUGGGUGAAGAAGUAUUUCGGUAUGUAAAGCCCUAUCGGCAGGGAAGAAAUUGGACGGUACCUGACUAAGAAGCCCCGGCUAACUACGUGCCAGCAGCCGCGGUAAUACGUAGGGGGCAAGCGUUAUCCGGAUUUACUGGGUGUAAAGGGAGCGUAGACGGCGAUGCAAGUCUGAAGUGAAAGGCGGGGGCCCAACCCCCGGACUGCUUUGGAAACUGUAUGGCUGGAGUGCAGGAGAGGUAAGUGGAAUUCCUAGUGUAGCGGUGAAAUGCGUAGAUAUUAGGAGGAACUCCAGUGGCGAAGGCGGCCUGCUGGACGAUGACUGACGUUGAGGCUCGAAAGCGUGGGGAGCAAACAGGAUUAGAUACCCCCGUAUC